AGAGUGGAACAGGUGAUCGCGGCUGCAGGCGCCGAAAGGACGCAGCUGAGGAAAGUCCGGGCUUCACAGGGCAGGAUGCCGGAUAACGUCCGGUGGAGGCGACUCCAAGGAUAGUGCAACAGAAAUAUACCGCAGGAUUUUCGAAUCCUGUAAGGGUGGAAGGGCAGUGCAAGAGACUACCGCCCGGCUGGUGACAGCCGGGGCAUAUGUAAACCCCAUCCGAAGCAAGACCGAACAGGAAGCGUACGCGGCCCGCCAGCUUCAGGUAGGUCGCUAAAGGCAGCUGGCGACAGCUGUAUCAGACAGAUGAUCACCCAACGACAUAACCCGGCUUAUCGUUCCGCUCUUUUU
This is a non-coding RNA of Clostridium sp. SY8519, 351 nucleotides long. It matches the Rfam family "Bacterial RNase P class A". From Rfam's summary of the family: Ribonuclease P (RNase P) is a ubiquitous endoribonuclease, found in archaea, bacteria and eukarya as well as chloroplasts and mitochondria. NCBI's taxonomy places the organism in Bacteria, Bacillati, Bacillota, Clostridia, Eubacteriales, Clostridiaceae. The record is from Rfam.